Molecule: ribosomal RNA, 535 nt
Filed under: uncultured bacterium
Lineage: Bacteria
Description: bacterial SSU rRNA
Rfam family: Bacterial small subunit ribosomal RNA
Source: RNAcentral
CCUGGCCUUGACAUACUAAGAACUUUCCAGAGAUGGAUUGGUGCCUUCGGGAACUUAGAUACAGGUGCUGCAUGGCUGUCGUCAGCUCGUGUCGUGAGAUGUUGGGUUAAGUCCCGCAACGAGCGCAACCCUUUUCCUAUUUGCCAGCGGGUUAAGCCGGGAACUUUAAGGAUACUGCCAGUGACAAACUGGAGGAAGGCGGGGACGACGUCAAGUCAUCAUGGCCCUUACGGCCAGGGCUACACACGUGCUACAAUGGUCGGUACAAAGGGUUGCUACCUCGCGAGAGGAUGCUAAUCUCAAAAAGCCGAUCGUAGUCCGGAUCGCAGUCUGCAACUCGACUGCGUGAAGUCGGAAUCGCUAGUAAUCGCGGAUCAGAAUGCCGCGGUGAAUACGUUCCCGGGCCUUGUACACACCGCCCGUCACACCAUGGGAGUUUGUUGCACCAGAAGUAGGUAGUCUAACCGCAAGGAGGACGCUUACCACGGUGUGGCCGAUGACUGGGGUGAAGUCGUAACAAGGUAGGCGUAGAUGA